UACGUAGGGUGCGAGCGUUGUCCGGAAUUAUUGGGCGUAAAGGGCUCGUAGGCGGUUUGUCGCGUCGGGAGUGAAAACCAGGUGCUUAACACCUGGCUUGCUUUCGAUACGGGCAGACUAGAGGCAUGCAGGGGAGAACGGAAUUCCUGGUGUAGCGGUGAAAUGCGCAGAUAUCAGGAGGAACACCAAUGGCGAAGGCAGAUCUCUGGGCCGUAACUGACGCUGAGGAGCGAAAGCAUGGGGAGCGAACAGG
Molecule: ribosomal RNA, 253 nt
Filed under: uncultured bacterium
Lineage: Bacteria
Description: partial 16S ribosomal RNA
Rfam family: Bacterial small subunit ribosomal RNA
Source: RNAcentral